GAUGAACGCUGGCGGCGUGCCUAAUACAUGCAAGUAGAACGCUGAAGCUUGGUGCUUGCACCGAGCGGAUGAGUUGCGAACGGGUGAGUAACGCGUAGGUAACCUGCCUCUUAGCGGGGGAUAACUAUUGGAAACGAUAGCUAAUACCGCAUAAAAGUCGAUAUCGCAUGAUAUUGAUUUGAAAGGUGCAAAUGCAUCACUAAGAGAUGGACCUGCGUUGUAUUAGCUAGUUGGUGAGGUAACGGCUCACCAAGGCGACGAUACAUACCGACCUGAGAGGGUGAUCGGCCCCUGGGACUGAGACACGGCCCAGACUCCUACGGGAGGCAGCAGUAGGGAAUCUUCGGCAAUGGGGGCAACCCUGACCGAGCACCCGCGUGAGUGAAGAAGGUUUUCGGAUCGUAAAGCUCUGUUGUAAGAGAAGAACGAGUGUGAGAGU
This 439-nucleotide ribosomal RNA is filed under the name Streptococcus parasanguinis. Its description in RNAcentral is "bacterial SSU rRNA". It matches the Rfam family "Bacterial small subunit ribosomal RNA", at positions 28 to 462 of the family's 1533-position model. Lineage: Bacteria; Bacillati; Bacillota; Bacilli; Lactobacillales; Streptococcaceae. The record is from RNAcentral.